This 557-nucleotide ribosomal RNA is filed under the name uncultured fungus. RNAcentral's name for it is "SSU rRNA". It matches the Rfam family "Eukaryotic small subunit ribosomal RNA", at positions 194 to 755 of the family's 1831-position model. The record is from RNAcentral. Lineage: Eukaryota; Fungi.
GGAAGGGAUGUAUUUAUUAGAUAAAAAACCAAUGCCCUUCGGGGCUCCUUGGUGAUUCAUAAUAACUCAACGAAUCGCAUGGCCUUGCGCCGGCGAUGGUUCAUUCAAAUUUCUGCCCUAUCAACUUUCGAUGGUAGGAUAGUGGCCUACCAUGGUCUCAACGGGUAACGGGGAAUUAGGGUUCUAUUCCGGAGAGGGAGCCUGAGAAACGGCUACCACAUCCAAGGAAGGCAGCAGGCGCGCAAAUUACCCAAUCCCAACACGGGGAGGUAGUGACAAUAAAUACUGAUACAGGGCUCUUUUGGGUCUUGUAAUUGGAAUGAGUACAAUCUAAAUCCCUUAACGAGGAACAAUUGGAGGGCAAGUCUGGUGCCAGCAGCCGCGGUAAUUCCAGCUCCAAUAGCGUAUAUUAAAGUUGUUGCCGUUAAAAAGCUCGUAGUUGAACCUUGGGUCGGGCCGCUCUGUCCUCCUAAUCGAGCGCACGGAGUCGGUCGGACCUUUCCUUCUGGGGAGCCCGAUGCCCUUUACUGGGCGUCGCGGGGAACCAGGACUUUUAC